This 1464-nucleotide long non-coding RNA is filed under the name Struthio camelus australis. Its description in RNAcentral is "lncRNA (ENSSCUG00000002366.1)". Lineage: Eukaryota; Metazoa; Chordata; Aves; Struthioniformes; Struthionidae. The record is from RNAcentral.
AACAUAAGCAAUGCUCCAGCUCAUGGCUGGGGCUGCUCAAGGCCUCCCAGUCUUUGCCUUAAUUCUCCUUUCCUGGUUUCUGCACCGCCCCAGCUGCCCUCUGGAUCCAGGACCGUGGAGAUAAGGCACAGGGGGUGACAACAGCGAUUCCCAGGCCUUUCCAAAGGGCAGGACCGACUACAGUGUGUCUCUUGGAGAAGCUGAGUCUGGCAUAAUGCACUAUGGCAUGGGCUGAGCAAGGUCCCAGCUCCUGAAGAUCACUGGGGGAGCAGGGCUGGGAACUGAGGACACCAAGCCCCACAUGGGUUUUUUUUCCCCCUAAUUACUAUUGAGAAAAUUAAAACAAAAAUGGCCAGUACAGGAAGAACAGUCCUCAAUAACAGGCUCACGAUCGGUCUGCAGGUGCUGAUGAGCCACUCGUGUCCGCCGGCACGGCAGCCCCGAUGGGCCGACGUGCUACGGACUUGCUGGAGGGAGGAAACGAGCCCGGGAGCUCCUCGAGGCAGGACCGCCGCCCUCCGGCCCUCCGAAACGAUGCCGGUCGGCUCCCACGAGGGAAAACUCCCCCACCCCCCCCAAAAAAAACCCCAAGACUGGGAUAAACUCAGCAUCAAACCGAAGCGUAAACCCUGUUCUGAACCCAGGGUCCAUGUGACUGUCUGCUAAUCACAGACGAGCUAAACAGGCAGAUGAUGCCCUCCACGGCUGAGCUGGCUGCUGAAGCCCUCCUUCCUCCGAGCCUCCCCUGCGCGGCCCGUCCCCGCCGCGAAACGCCAACGCUCGCUUCGGCUCCGCGUUGCACAAGCAGCUCAAGGAACCGUGUUGUCCAAAUUACCAGCAGCGAGUGGAAAUACUAACGCUUGUCUGGAGGAAAGGGAAGAUGUGUGAAUAAUUGCAAUUGUAAUUCUGCCCUCGCCAAGUGAGCACACAGAAGACUUCUCCUGCUUUCCUAGCCUGGUGGGCCUGGGGCCCCGCUCUGCACGCCAAGAACUUGUUUGAUGGGUCUCCGCUCAGGAAAAAUGAAAGGUAUAAGAAAGCCCUUCCAAAAAGGAAGGGAAUGGUAUCAUCAUCAGCAGACAAACACCCCUGGAGGGUUGUUAUAAGAAGCAAAGCUGGAAAAAAGGAAGAGGAGGUCUCAAAACGUGCACCUGCAGGACCUGCUGCCCGUGAGCGUGCAUCGCGCUCCUCGCGUGCUCGCGCCGUGUGCGGCACGGCCGGCACGUGUUACCGGGCAGCUGCACGUGCGAACCUCGCAGAUGCAGAAAGAUUUCUUUAGGACACUUCUCUUUUAACGUUGUUUGCAUUUAGAGAGAAAAACUGAGACGGGUAGAUGGCUUUCACCUUUAAAGGGCGCUGGUGGGGAAUCCGCAGGGGCCCUUAUCUGGGACCCGCCGGCGGCAGGACCGCUCGCGGCUCCUGUCCCACCGAGGGAGGCAGGAGCUGGACCCGGUCGCCCUCUCCCGG